This 253-nucleotide ribosomal RNA is filed under the name uncultured bacterium. RNAcentral describes it as "partial 16S ribosomal RNA". It matches the Rfam family "Bacterial small subunit ribosomal RNA", at positions 524 to 776 of the family's 1533-position model. The record is from RNAcentral.
UACGAAGGGGGCUAGCGUUGCUCGGAAUCACUGGGCGUAAAGCGCACGUAGGCGGAUCUUUAAGUCAGGGGUGAAAUCCCAAGGCUCAACCUUGGAACUGCCUUUGAUACUGGGGAUCUCGAGUCCGGAAGAGGUGAGUGGAACUGCGAGUGUAGAGGUGAAAUUCGUAGAUAUUCGCAAGAACACCAGUGGCGAAGGCGGCUCACUGGUCCGGUACUGACGCUGAGGCGCGAAAGCGUGGGUAGCAAACAGG